UUGCAGCCAAUUAAGCCGACUGUGCUCUUUUCCCCGUGGGGCCUGGUGUGCAGUGGCUGCGGAGAGCAGCCUCCUCGGGAGUGUAUGCAGCCUGUUGCCUGUACAGGUUGCCCUAAGGGACCUCGGACACAGCA
Molecule: small nucleolar RNA, 134 nt
Filed under: Catagonus wagneri (Chacoan peccary)
Lineage: Eukaryota; Metazoa; Chordata; Mammalia; Artiodactyla; Tayassuidae
Description: Small nucleolar RNA SNORA70 (ENSCWAG00000021446.1)
Rfam family: Small nucleolar RNA SNORA70
About the family: snoRNA U70 seems to be exclusive to mammals and is a member of the H/ACA class of snoRNA which contain H (ANANNA) and ACA box motifs. H/ACA box snoRNAs are involved in the conversion of uridines to pseudouridines (5-ribosyluracil) a constituent of structural RNAs (transfer, ribosomal, small nuclear, and small nucleolar).
Source: Rfam by way of RNAcentral